GCAGCUUGAGCGCGGGCCUCCAGCCCCUUUGCUUUCGCUGUCAACUUUUUGCGUGUAGGGGACAGGGAUCUCGGGGAGCUGGUCCCUUACACUUAUUCUUUGUUGUGCUAUGAAGUUGAAAGGUCUGAAUCUAAAAGUGAUUCAUUGUAUCUUUACCGGUCAAGUCAGUCAGACCUUGGCUUUGACCUUGCUUUGUGUUUCAUUUGAGAGCUUGAUACUCUGAAGUCAUUUUAUGUUUUCUCACUAACAAAUAUUUAUAUCACACUUCCUAUGGGCCAGGCACUGUUCCAAGAACUUUACAAGAUGUUAAGUCAUUUAGUAUUUGCAACAGCCCUAUGAAGAGUUUUGUUUGUAUUGCUGCAUGUUAUGAGGCAAACGUGGCUCUAGUCCAGGCCUGACUAGAGCAUACCUAAACAUCAAAAAGAUGAGCUCUACAUUCUCAAGGAAGACUUAAGACCAUGGAAAUAUGAACAAGCAUCAAGUUACCGGAUCUAACACUCUGAUUAUAUGUGGAAAAGAACAAAAUAGGUCCUCUUGGAGGUCAGGGAGCAGAAAAGGCAAUGACCCAGAGCCAAUGAACAUGAACAAGAGCAGGCCCCACCAGUCCUCAAACAGAUAUCUACAAUAAAGCUGACCUUGGGCUAGAACACUAGAAGCCAGCAUCAGCAACGGGACAAAGAGAUAUCACGUGCCUCCUGUUACAACGCCCUGAGGACCCGACAUCGCUUCGGUGGGAUUCUUGAGAAAAGCGCAUAAUAAUGAUAAAACAUCAGGGAAAAAACAAACAAAAAAAGAAGACAUUCUACAAAUUAAUU
This 815-nucleotide long non-coding RNA is filed under the name Equus caballus (horse). RNAcentral's name for it is "lncRNA (ENSECAG00000060331.1)". Lineage: Eukaryota; Metazoa; Chordata; Mammalia; Perissodactyla; Equidae. The record is from RNAcentral.